RNAcentral lists this ribosomal RNA (301 nucleotides) under uncultured bacterium. Its description in RNAcentral is "partial 16S ribosomal RNA". It matches the Rfam family "Bacterial small subunit ribosomal RNA", at positions 509 to 807 of the family's 1533-position model. The record is from RNAcentral.
CAGCCGCCACGGUAAUACGGAGGGUGCAAGCGUUAAUCGGAAUUACUGAGCGUAAAGCGUGCGCAGGCGGUUUGUUAAGACAGAUGUGAAAUCCCCGGGCUCAACCUGGGAACUGCAUUUGUGACUGGCAGGCUAGAGUAUGGCAGAGGGGGGUGGAAUUCCGCGUGUAGCAGUGAAAUGCGUAGAUAUGCGGAGGAACACCGAUGGCGAAGGCAGCCCCCUGGACAAAGACUGACGCUCAGGUGCGAAAGCGUGGGGAGCAAACAGGAUUAGAUACCCCAGUAGUCCCUGUCUCUUAUAC